This 678-nucleotide ribosomal RNA is filed under the name uncultured euryarchaeote. RNAcentral describes it as "bacterial SSU rRNA". It matches the Rfam family "Archaeal small subunit ribosomal RNA", at positions 321 to 1002 of the family's 1478-position model. Lineage: Archaea; Methanobacteriati; Methanobacteriota. The record is from RNAcentral.
CCCUACGGGGUGCAGCAGUUACGAAACCUUUACAAUGCGCGAAAGCGUGAUAAGGGUACCCUACGUGCUAGCUUAUAGUUAGCUUUUGCCAAGUGUAAAAAUCUUGGAGAAUAAGAGGUGGGCAAGACCGGUGCCAGCCGCCGCGGUAACCCCGGCGCCUCGAGUGGUGAUCAUAUUUAUUGGGUUUAAAGCAUCCGUAGCUGGUUAAGUCAGUUUUUGGUGAAAUUUAGCAGCUUAACUGUUAAGAAGGCUAAAAAUACUACUUAACUAGGGACCGGGAGGAGUCAGAGGAAUGUUGUGGGGAGCGGUAAAAUGUGUUAAUCCACGGUGGACCACCAGUGGCGAAGGCGUCUGACUAGAACGGAUCCGACAGUGAGGGAUGAAAGCUAGGGGAGCAAAUCGGAUUAGAUACCCGAGUAGUCCUAGCCGUAAACGCUGCCUGCAAGGUGCUGCAAUUUCUUCGUGUUUUUGCAGUGUCGAAGAGAAAUCGUUAAGCAGGCCACCUGGGAAGUACGGUCGCAAGGCUGAAACUUAAAGGAAUAGGCGGGGGGUCACAACAAGGGGUGGAUGUUGCGGUUUAAUUCAACUAUACGCGGGGAACCCUACCAGGGCCGACAGCAGUAUGAAAGUCAGUCUAAAUGGCUCACUUGACGCGCUGAGAGGUAGUGCAUGGGCCAA